RNAcentral lists this ribosomal RNA (492 nucleotides) under uncultured bacterium. RNAcentral's name for it is "partial 16S ribosomal RNA". It matches the Rfam family "Bacterial small subunit ribosomal RNA", at positions 29 to 507 of the family's 1533-position model. The record is from RNAcentral.
AGUGAACGCUGGCGGUAGGCCUAGCACAUGCAAGUCGAACGGCAGCACAGUAAGAGCUUGCUCUUACGGGUGGCGAGUGGCGGACGGGUGAGGAAUACAUCGGAAUCUACUUUUUCGUGGGGGAUAACGUAGGGAAACUUACGCUAAUACCGCAUACGACCUACGGGUGAAAGCAGGGGAUCUUCGGACCUUGCGCGAUUGAAUGAGCCGAUGUCGGAUUAGCUAGUUGGCGGGGUAAAGGCCCACCAAGGCGACGAUCCGUAGCUGGUCUGAGAGGAUGAUCAGCACCACGGGAACUGAGCCCCGGUCCAGCCCCCUACGGGGGGCAGCGUGGGGGAAUAUUGGACAAGGGGCGCAAGCCGGAUCCAGCCAUACCGGGUGGGUGAAGAAGGCCUUCGGGUUGUAAACCCUUUUUGUUGGAAAAGAAAAGCAGCAGUUUAAUCCCCCGCUGUUCUGACGGUACCAAAAGAAUAAGCCCCGGCUAACUUCGUC